AAACAAUGAAUUUUUUAAAGAUAUUUUGAAAAAUGAUUCAAAUUGCGUCUUACUUACAGAACUCUUAAAAAGAGUUUGCCGCUCAUUUGAGUCUCACAGAACUCGAUAAAUUAAUCUCUCAAAUUGCGUGCAAAGUAUAACUAAUUUAUACCAUUGUGGUAAAAUAUUAGUGUAAAAAAUAUAAAGACAUGUGAAAUUGAAUUUGGUCAUGGAUUCCUUGUCUUUGGGUUUUUGUUUUUACAGGCAAUUAUACAUCAAAUGAAUGCAUACAUGAUCAAAAGUAAAAAAGAGAAGAAAAAAGAGAAGAAAAAAGCUAUUGAAUGUUGGGAAGAAUUUGUGACAUUACGAGAUCCACCAUACGCGGAAGAUUCUUAUUCUUUCAAGGAGUUCAAGAAAAACGUGAAAAAACUUCUAAGUGCAGAAAAAGAAUUAUAUGGGAAAAAUGAACAAUAGAACUUAUGUAAUUAAUAGCUACAUGUUUAGUCUUUGUUCUUGUUAUAGUAGUGAUUGAAUUUAUUUAUUUAAACAUAAGAAUUUGUGAAACUGUUUCUGAUAAUUUAUAAAAGUAAUUUAUGCCAUUUUUUAAAA
RNAcentral lists this long non-coding RNA (588 nucleotides) under Trifolium pratense (red clover). RNAcentral's name for it is "long non-coding RNA (TPRA_LNC004336)". Lineage: Eukaryota; Viridiplantae; Streptophyta; Magnoliopsida; Fabales; Fabaceae. The record is from RNAcentral.